CUUUUGAACAGGCACACAGGAAGUGUGGCUUUACCUACGGUGGUGCUGUCUUCAAGGAAAGCCAUUCUUUUGUUGUCAUGCUAUCAGAAGCUCAGACAGAGGUGACAGAAACAGAGUGGAUUCUGCACCUUCAGAAAACAUGUUGCCCAACCAGCAAGAGCAGUCCAUCAUUGGUGCGCAGAGCCUGUACGGAUCUCCACGCCUUCACGCAGACCUCCAGAGACCCAGUGCCUCCUGUCCCCAGGAGCUGAUCCGAACAUGGGUUCAAGAAUGACCAGUCGGAAG
This 285-nucleotide long non-coding RNA is filed under the name Meriones unguiculatus (Mongolian gerbil). Its description in RNAcentral is "lncRNA (ENSMUGG00000022570.1)". Lineage: Eukaryota; Metazoa; Chordata; Mammalia; Rodentia; Muridae. The record is from RNAcentral.